AACCUCUGCAAUAGGCGAAAGCCUGACAGGGUUACUCUGAGUGAUUCCCGCUAAGGGGAUCUUUGGCACCUCUAAAAAUGGUGCAGAAUAAGGGGUGGGCAAGUCUGGUGUCAGCCGCCGCGGUAAUACCAGCACCCCGAGUGGUCGGGACGAUUAUUGGGCCUAAAGCAUCCGUAGCCGGUCAUGCAAGUCCUCCGUUAAAUCCACCUGCUUAACAGAUGGGCUGCGGAGGAUACUACAAGGCUAGGAGGCGGAAGAGGCAAGCGGUACUCAGUGGGUAGGGGUAAAAUCCUCUGAUCCAUUGAAGACCACCAGUGGCGAAGGCGGCUUGCCAAUACGCGCUCGACGGUGAGGGAUGAAAGCUGGGGGAGCAAACCGGAUUAGAUACCCGGGUAGUCCCAGCUGUAAACGAUGCAGACUCGGUGAUGGGCGGGCUUUAUGCCAGCUCAGUGCCGCAGGGAAGCCGUUAAGUCUGC
This 476-nucleotide ribosomal RNA is filed under the name uncultured crenarchaeote. Its description in RNAcentral is "bacterial SSU rRNA". It matches the Rfam family "Archaeal small subunit ribosomal RNA", at positions 345 to 824 of the family's 1478-position model. Lineage: Archaea; Thermoproteati; Thermoproteota. The record is from RNAcentral.